This 262-nucleotide ribosomal RNA is filed under the name uncultured bacterium. RNAcentral's name for it is "partial 16S ribosomal RNA". It matches the Rfam family "Bacterial small subunit ribosomal RNA", at positions 793 to 1055 of the family's 1533-position model. The record is from RNAcentral.
GUCCACGCCUAACGAUGGGCACUAGGUGUGGGAGGUAUCGACCCUCCCGUGCCGCAGCUAACGCAUUAAGUGCCCCGCCUGGGGAGUACGGUCGCAAGACUAAACUCAAAGGAAUUGACGGGGCCCGCACAAGCGGUGGAGCAUGUGGUUUAAUUCGACGCAACGCGAAGAACCUUACCUGGGCUUGACAUCCCUGGAACCCCUAUGAAAGUAGGGGUGCCUCGAAAGAGGAGCCAGGAGACAGGUGCUGCAUGGCUGUCGU